CAAUGUUGGAUGAGAUUCCAAGU
Molecule: microRNA, 23 nt
Filed under: Rosa chinensis
Lineage: Eukaryota; Viridiplantae; Streptophyta; Magnoliopsida; Rosales; Rosaceae
Description: sRNA RchiOBHm_Chr6g0296755
Source: RNAcentral